Molecule: ribosomal RNA, 291 nt
Filed under: uncultured eukaryote
Lineage: Eukaryota
Description: partial 18S ribosomal RNA
Rfam family: Eukaryotic small subunit ribosomal RNA
Source: RNAcentral
GGUUGAUCCUGCCAGUAGUCAUAUGCUUGUCCUAAAGAUUAAGCCAUGCAUGUCCAAGUAUAAACCUUUAUACGGUGAAACUGCGAAAGGCUCAUUAAAUCAGUUAUAAUUUACAUGAUGAUGACGAUUACAUGGAUAACCGUGGUAAUUCUAGAGCUAAUACAUGCAAAAAAUUCUGUAAAGGGAUUGCAUUUAUUAGAUAAAACCAAUUCAAGGCGACUUGAUGUAUGGCGAGUCAUGAUAACUGAGCGGAUCGUAGGGCCUUGAGCCGACGACGCAUCAUUCAAAUUU